AGUCAAGUGAAUAAGUGCAUCAGGUGGAUGCCUUGGCGAUGAUAGGCGACGAAGGACGUGUAAGCCUGCGAAAAGCGUGGGGGAGCUGGCAAUAAAGCUAUGAUCCCGCGGUGUCCGAAUGGGGAAACCCACCUCUUAGGAGGUAUCCUUAUCUGAAUACAUAGGAUAAGCGAAGCGAACCCGGAGAACUGAACCAUCUAAGUACCCGGAGGAAAAGAAAUCAACCGAGAUUCCGCAAGUAGUGGCGAGCGAACGCGGAGGAGCCUGUACGUGAUAACUGUCGAGAUAGAAGAACAAGCUGGGAAGCUUGACCAUAGUGGGUGAUAGUCCCGUAUUCGAAAUCUCAAUAGUGGUACUAAGCGUACGAAAAGUAGGGCGGGACACGUGAAAUCCUGUCUGAAUAUGGGGGGACCAUCCUCCAAGGCUAAAUACUCAUCAUCGACCGAUAGUGAACCAGUACCGUGAGGGAAAGGCGAAAAGAACCCCGGGAGGGGAGUGAAAUAGAACCUGAAACCUGAUGCAUACAAACAGUGGGAGCACCCUUGUGGUGUGACUGCGUACCUUUUGUAUAAUGGGUCAACGACUUACAUUCAGUAGCGAGCUUAACCGAAUAGGGGAGGCGUAGGGAAACCGAGUCUUAAUAGGGCGAACAGUUGCUGGGUGUAGACCCGAAACCGAGUGAUCUAUCCAUGGCCAGGUUGAAGGUGCCGUAACAGGUACUGGAGGACCGAACCCACGCAUGUUGCAAAAUGCGGGGAUGAGCUGUGGAUAGGGGUGAAAGGCUAAACAAACUCGGAGAUAGCUGGUUCUCCCCGAAAACUAUUUAGGUAGUGCCUCGAGCAAGACACUGAUGGGGGUAAAGCACUGUUAUGGCUAGGGGGUUAUUGCAACUUACCAACCCAUGGCAAACUAAGAAUACCAUCAAGUGGUUCCUCGGGAGACAGACAGCGGGUGCUAACGUCCGUUGUCAAGAGGGAAACAACCCAGACCGCCAGCUAAGGUCCCAAAUGAUAGAUUAAGUGGUAAACGAAGUGGGAAGGCCCAGACAGCCAGGAUGUUGGCUUAGAAGCAGCCAUCAUUUAAAGAAAGCGUAAUAGCUCACUGGUCGAGUCGUCCUGCGCGGAAGAUGUAACGGGGCUCAAAUCUAUAACCGAAGCUGCGGAUGCCAGUUUACUGGCAUGGUAGGGGAGCGUUCUGUAGGCCAAUGAAGGUGCAUUGUAAAGUGUGCUGGAGGUAUCAGAAGUGCGAAUGUUGACAUGAGUAGCGAUAAAGCGGGUGAAAAGCCCGCUCGCCGAAAGCCCAAGGUUUCCUACGCAACGUUCAUCGGCGUAGGGUGAGUCGGCCCCUAAGGCGAGGCAGAAAUGCGUAGUCGAUGGGAAACAGGUUAAUAUUCCUGUACUUGAUUCAAAUGCGAUGUGGGGACGGAGAAGGUUAGGUUAGCAAGCUGUUGGAAUAGCUUGUUUAAGCCGGUAGGUGGAAGACUUAGGCAAAUCCGGGUCUUCUUAACACCGAGAAGUGACGACGAGUGUCUACGGACAUGAAGUAACCGAUACCACGCUUCCAGGAAAAGCCACUAAGCUUCAGUUUGAAUCGAACCGUACCGCAAACCGACACAGGUGGGCAGGAUGAGAAUUCUAAGGCGCUUGAGAGAACUCGGGAGAAGGAACUCGGCAAAUUGAUACCGUAACUUCGGGAGAAGGUAUGCCCUCUAAGGUUAAGGACUUGCUCCGUAAGCCCUGGAGGGUCGCAGAGAAUAGGUGGCUGCGACUGUUUAUUAAAAACACAGCACUCUGCUAACACGAAAGUGGACGUAUAGGGUGUGACGCCUGCCCGGUGCUGGAAGGUUAAUUGAAGAUGUGCAAGCAUCGGAUCGAAGCCCCAGUAAACGGCGGCCGUAACUAUAACGGUCCUAAGGUAGCGAAAUUCCUUGUCGGGU
Molecule: ribosomal RNA, 1936 nt
Filed under: Salmonella enterica
Lineage: Bacteria; Pseudomonadati; Pseudomonadota; Gammaproteobacteria; Enterobacterales; Enterobacteriaceae
Description: partial 23S ribosomal RNA
Rfam family: Bacterial large subunit ribosomal RNA
Source: RNAcentral